GACGAACGCUGGCGGCGUGCUUAACACAUGCAAGUCGAACGGAAAGGCCCCUUUGGGGGUACUCGAGUGGCGAACGGGUGAGUAACACGUGAGUAACCUGCCCUUGACUUCGGGAUAACUUCAGGAAACUGGGGCUAAUACCGGAUAGGAAUCCUUGCUGCAUGGUGGGGGUUGGAAAGCUUCGGCGGUUUUGGAUGGACUCGCGGCUUAUCAGCUUGUUGGUGGGGUAGUGGCUUACCAAGGCUUUGACGGGUAGCCGGCCUGAGAGGGCGACCGGCCACAUUGGGACUGGGAUACGGCCCAGACUCCUACGGGAGGCAGCAGUGGGGAAUAUUGCACAAGGGGCGGAAGCCUGAUGCAGCAACGCCGCGUGCGGGAUGACGGCCUUCGGGUUGUAAACCGCUUUCAGCAGGGGCGAAGCUUGUGGUGACGGUACCUGCAGAAGAAGCACCGGCUAACUACGUG
This 465-nucleotide ribosomal RNA is filed under the name uncultured bacterium. RNAcentral's name for it is "partial 16S ribosomal RNA". It matches the Rfam family "Bacterial small subunit ribosomal RNA", at positions 28 to 507 of the family's 1533-position model. The record is from RNAcentral.